UAGACCAAAACCAAUCGUUUCCUUCGGGUGACGCUUGAUUGAUGAUUCUGAAUAACUUUGAGCGGAUCGUACGGCCUUGCGCUGACGACGUAUCCUUCAAAUGUCUGCCUUAUCAACUUGUUGGUUGUUUAAUGGACAACCAAGGUGGUAACGGGUGACGGAGAAUCAGGGUUCGAUACCGGAGAGGGAGCACGAGAAACGGCUACCACAUCUAAGGAAGGCAGCAGGCACGUAAAUUACCCACUCCCAGCUCGGGGAGGUAGUGACGAAAAAUAACAAUACGAGACUCAUCCGAGGCUUCGUAAUUGGAAUGAGUACACUUCAAAUCCUUUAACGAGGAUCUAUUGGAGGGCAAGUCUGGUGCCAGCAGCCGCGGUAAUUCCAGCUCCAAUAGCGUAUAUUAAAGUUGCUGCGUUUAAAAAGCUCGUAGUUGGAUCUCAGUCUCGAUCGAGCGGUCCGUCUUCCGACGGUACUGCGCGAAUCGGACAUUCCGCCGCAUUUCCCCGCAUGCCCUUAACUGAGUGUGCGGGUAGAGUGGUACGUUUACUUUGAAAAAAUUAGAGUGCUCAAAGCAGG
RNAcentral lists this ribosomal RNA (576 nucleotides) under uncultured eukaryote. Its description in RNAcentral is "SSU rRNA". It matches the Rfam family "Eukaryotic small subunit ribosomal RNA", at positions 211 to 784 of the family's 1831-position model. The record is from RNAcentral.